RNAcentral lists this ribosomal RNA (248 nucleotides) under uncultured bacterium. Its description in RNAcentral is "partial 16S ribosomal RNA". It matches the Rfam family "Bacterial small subunit ribosomal RNA", at positions 524 to 771 of the family's 1533-position model. The record is from RNAcentral.
UACGUAGGGACCGAGCGUUGUCCGGAAUCAUUGGGCGUAAAGAGCGUGUAGGCGGCCACUUAAGUCCUGCGUGAAAUCUUGCGGCUCAACCGCAAGCGGUCGUGGGAAACUGGGUGGCUAGAGUGCGGGAGAGGAGAGUGGAAUUCCGGGUGUAGCGGUGGAAUGCGUAGAGAUCCGGAAGAACACCGGUGGCGAAGGCGGUCUGCUGGGCAGAGCUGGACACUGAGGCGCGACAGCGUGGGGAGCAA